ACAGGCAUAGAGGGAAGGGAUGGGGACAGGUGUGUGCCUCCUCAGUCGCCCCGCUUCCUCCAGCCCUCCCCCCACCCCCCUGCAGAGUGCAGACAGGUUCAGCUAUGGCCCAGGUGGCGGGGACAAACCUCUUCCACCCCUCGCAGGAUGACGUUUGUGCACCACCAGUAGUCCAGGGAGAUCUGUAGGCCGAUCCUCAGAGACCUGCCAGCAGAGGGCACCUUCAGCCCUGGGCAGGCACUCAUCUCAGAUCCUGCCCUGUCUGGCCCCGCCCCUGCCAGCCCCUCAGACCACUGUGAGCACGUGGCAGGGGCUGCUGAGUCCCGGUCCAGCCUCCAUGCUCUCAGGACAGCACUGACAGCAGGUCAGUCUCGGCCCCUGGUCUGCAGAAUGGACAGCCUGCAUCCACACCACCCCUCAGUCCCUGCACGCACCCUGAUGGGCACCCAGGACAGAUGGGAAGGGCCAGAGCUGGGAUGGGGUCUCGAGCCCUAACCACCAGGUGUGGUUUCUUUUUCAUUCUUCUGUAACACUCAUUAUAAAAAAUUCCACCCAAGACCUGGCACAGCUCUGAUGGGAUGCCAAGGUGGCACUCUGUUACCAGCUCCCGUCUGCAGAUGCGCCCUCACUCCAGGCCCCCCUGCACUCCUGCCUCCUGCGCACUCAGCCACCUCCCCCAGACUGGGCCCUGCCAGCCCUCUGCAGGUGCCCUCCACACACCUGUGGACAGGAGCCCCUAGGGAGUUGAGUCUCAGAGCUGGGACUCAACUGCUCUCCUGGCCAAGAGCAUGGCCUGUGCAGUCCUGGAGGUCCAAGCCCCUUCUGGUGUCAGCAGGGGUCCUCACUCCCCACGCCCCAGGCUAUGGAUGAGCAGCCCUGGGUCUGGAGAGGGAAGGAUCCAGGACCAGAAUCCAGGCCUCCAGUGUUGCAGACCCCAGACCCUUGGGCCUUCCUGACAGGGGUGUGGCUCCUGCUCCUUAAGACAGCCCUGAGAGGACCUGGGCCACCAGUCCAAGCUGAGCCUCUCCGUCCUGCCUCUCAGCUGUCUCCUGCUCCUCGCCGCCUCCACCUCAGGAGGGACCAGAAUGAAAAGGCUGCUGGAUUCGGACAGUUUGCUGCCCGGGCCGGGCACAUGCUGCUCCCAAGAGUUGUGGAGAUCAGGCGUCUUGGAGCAGUGAGGUCGGCCCAUGCCUUACACUUGCCAAACUGAGCUCCACAGACUGCGUCUGUCCCACUCACCCCCAGCCUGACACAGGGGACAAACAGUGUCGCCUGAAGAAGGGGGCGCGUGUUGGCCAGUCCACAGAAGCAGACACAGCCCGAGUGAUGCGAGCACGCCCUGUCAUGGUCCCUGAGACCUUUCUCCACCCCUAGGAGCCAGGCUCCCUGGAGAGUAGCAGCUUCUAGGGCUGGGAGAGAACAAGAGGGGCCUGGAGCAUCCUGUGUGCCAGAAGGAAUAGAAUGCUCAAAAGACACGUCAAAAGGAUUGAAAAAGUUAACGGUAAAAUCUAGGUUCACUGUAGAGCAUUUCCAACUCUGCUGUAUCUUUGAAGCUUUUUAUAAUAAAACGUUGGAGAUUAAAAAAUUUUCAAAAGGGGG
Non-coding RNA from Equus caballus (horse), 1599 nucleotides. The record is from RefSeq and is a predicted model, not a curated record. NCBI's taxonomy places the organism in Eukaryota, Metazoa, Chordata, Mammalia, Perissodactyla, Equidae.